UCCCAUAAACCGUGGCUCAGUUCAGAUCGUAGGCUGCAACUCGCCUACGUGAAGGAGGAAUCGCUAGUAAUCGCGGGUCAGCAUACUGCGGUGAAUACGUUCCCGGGCCUUGUACACACCGCCCGUCACACCAUGGAAGUUGGCCACGCCCGAAGCCGUUACUCCAACCCUUGUGGAGGAGGACGUCGAAGGUGGGGCUGAUGACUGGGGUGAAGUCGUAACAAGGUAGCCGUACCGGAAGGUGCGGCUGGAUCACCUCCUAA
Molecule: ribosomal RNA, 263 nt
Filed under: uncultured Synechococcus sp.
Lineage: Bacteria; Bacillati; Cyanobacteriota; Cyanophyceae; Synechococcales; Synechococcaceae
Description: partial 16S ribosomal RNA
Rfam family: Bacterial small subunit ribosomal RNA
Source: RNAcentral